Molecule: ribosomal RNA, 539 nt
Filed under: uncultured bacterium
Lineage: Bacteria
Description: bacterial SSU rRNA
Rfam family: Bacterial small subunit ribosomal RNA
Source: RNAcentral
AAUAGAUACCCAGGUAGUCCACGCCCUAAACGAUGUCUACUAGUUGUCGGGUCUUAAUUGACUUGGUAACGCAGCUAACGCGUGAAGUAGACCGCCUGGGGAGUACGGUCGCAAGAUUAAAACUCAAAGGAAUUGACGGGGACCCGCACAAGCGGUGGAUGAUGUGGAUUAAUUCGAUGCAACGCGAAAAACCUUACCUACCCUUGACAUGUCAGGAACCUCCGAGAGAUUGGAGGGUGCCCGAAAGGGAGCCUGAACACAGGUGCUGCAUGGCUGUCGUCAGCUCGUGUCGUGAGAUGUUGGGUUAAGUCCCGCAACGAGCGCAACCCUUGUCAUUAGUUGCUACGAAAGGGCACUCUAAUGAGACUGCCGGUGACAAACCGGAGGAAGGUGGGGAUGACGUCAAGUCCUCGUGGCCCUUAUGGGUAGGGCUUCACACGUCAUACAAUGGUACAUACAGAGGGCCGCCAACCCGCGAGGGGGAGCUAAUCCCAGAAAGUGUAUCGUAGUCCGGAUCGCAGUCUGCAACUCGACUGCGU